CCUACGGGUGGCUGCAGUGGGGAAUUUUCCGCAAUGGGCGAAAGCCUGACGGAGCAAUACCGCGUGAGGGAGGAAGGCUCUUGGGUUGUAAACCUCUUUUCUCAAGGAAGAAUACUGACGGUACUUGAGGAAUCAGCAUCGGCUAACUCCGUGCCAGCAGCCGCGGUAAUACGGAGGAUGCAAGCGUUAUCCGGAAUGAUUGGGCGUAAAGCGUCCGCAGGUGGCUCGUCAAGUCUGCUGUCAAAGCACCCAGCUUAACUGGGGAAAGGCAGUGG
This 275-nucleotide ribosomal RNA is filed under the name uncultured bacterium. RNAcentral describes it as "partial 16S ribosomal RNA". It matches the Rfam family "Bacterial small subunit ribosomal RNA", at positions 338 to 629 of the family's 1533-position model. The record is from RNAcentral.